UGGGGAAUAUUGCACAAUGGGGGAAACCCUGAUGCAGCGACGCCGCGUGGAGGAAGAAGGUCUUCGGAUUGUAAACUCCUGUUGUUGAGGAAGAUAAUGACGGUACUCAACAAGGAAGUGACGGCUAACUACGUGCCAGCAGCCGCGGUAAAACGUAGGUCACAAGCGUUGUCCGGAAUUACUGGGUGUAAAGGGAGCGCAGGCGGGAAGGCAAGUUGGAAGUGAAAUCCAUGGGCUCAACCCAUGAACUGCUUUCAAAACUGUUUUUCUUGAGUAGUGCAGAGGUAGGCGGAAUUCCCGGUGUAGCGGUGGAAUGCGUAGAUAUCGGGAGGAACGCCAGUGGCGAAGGCGGCCUACUGGGCACCAACUGACGCUGAGGCUCGAAAGUGUGGGUAGCAAACAGGAUUAGAUACCCUGGUAGUCCACACUGUAAACGAUGAUUACUAGGUGUUGGAGGAUUGACCCCUUCAGUGCCGCAGUUAACACAAUAAGUAAUCCACCUGGGGAGUACGACCGCAAGGUUGAAACUCAAAGGAAUUGACGGGGGCCCGCACAAGCAGUGGAGUAUGUGGUUUAAUUCGACGCAACGCGAAGAACCUUACCAAGUCUUGACAUCCCUUGACGAUGCUGGAAACAGUAUUUCUCUUCGGAGCAAGGAGACAGGUGGUGCAUGGUUGUCGUCAGCUCGUGUCGUGAGAUGUUGGGUUAAGUCCCGCAACGAGCGCAACCCUUAUGGUCAGUUACUACGCAAGAGGACUCUGGCCAGACUGCCGUUGACAAAACGGAGGAAGGUGGGGAUGACGUCAAAUCAUCAUGCCCUUUAUGACUUGGGCUACACACGUACUACAAUGGCGUUAAACAAAGAGAAGCAAGACCGCGAGGUGGAGCAAAACUCAGAAACAACGUCCCAGUUCGGACUGCAGGCUGCAACUCGCCUGCACGAAGUCGGAAUUGCUAGUAAUCGCAGAUCAGCAUGCUGCGGUGAAUACGUUCCC
Molecule: ribosomal RNA, 995 nt
Filed under: uncultured bacterium
Lineage: Bacteria
Description: bacterial SSU rRNA
Rfam family: Bacterial small subunit ribosomal RNA
Source: RNAcentral